Molecule: ribosomal RNA, 497 nt
Filed under: uncultured bacterium
Lineage: Bacteria
Description: partial 16S ribosomal RNA
Rfam family: Bacterial small subunit ribosomal RNA
Source: RNAcentral
GAUGAACGCUGGCGGCGUGCCUAAUACAUGCAAGUCGAGCGAACAGACGAGGAGCUUGCUCCUCUGACGUUAGCGGCGGACGGGUGAGUAACACGUGGAUAACCUACCUAUAAGACUGGGAUAACUUCGGGAAACCGGAGCUAAUACCGGAUAAUAUAUUGAACCGCAUGGUUCAAUAGUGAAAGACGGUUUUGCUGUCACUUAUAGAUGGAUCCGCGCCGCAUUAGCUAGUUGGUAAGGUAACGGCUUACCAAGGCAACGAUGCAUAGCCGACCUGAGAGGGUGAUGCGCCACACGGGAACUAAGACACGGUCCAGACUCCUACAAGAGGCAGCAGUAGUGAAUCCUCCGCAAUGGGCGAAAGCUUGAUGGAGAAACGCCGCGUGAGUGAUGAAAGUCUUCGGAUCGUAAAACUCUGUUAUUAGGGAAGAACAAAUGUGUAAGUAACUAUGCACGUCUUGACGGUACCUGCUCAGAAAGCCACGGCUAAAUACGUG